Molecule: ribosomal RNA, 467 nt
Filed under: Listeria monocytogenes
Lineage: Bacteria; Bacillati; Bacillota; Bacilli; Caryophanales; Listeriaceae
Description: bacterial SSU rRNA
Rfam family: Bacterial small subunit ribosomal RNA
Source: RNAcentral
UUUAAAGAGAGUUUGAUCCUGGCUCAGGACGAACGCUGGCGGCGUGCCUAAUACAUGCAAGUCGAACGAACGGAGGAAGAGCUUGCUCUUCCAAAGUUAGUGGCGGACGGGUGAGUAACACGUGGGCAACCUGCCUGUAAGUUGGGGAUAACUCCGGGAAACCGGGGCUAAUACCGAAUGAUAAAGUGUGGCGCAUGCCACGCUUUUGAAAGAUGGUUUCGGCUAUCGCUUACAGAUGGGCCCGCGGUGCAUUAGCUAGUUGGUAGGGUAAUGGCCUACCAAGGCAACGAUGCAUAGCCGACCUGAGAGGGUGAUCGGCCACACUGGGACUGAGACACGGCCCAGACUCCUACGGGAGGCAGCAGUAGGGAAUCUUCCGCAAUGGACGAAAGUCUGACGGAGCAACGCCGCGUGUAUGAAGAAGGUUUUCGGAUCGUAAAGUACUGUUGUUAGAGAAGAACAAGGAU